AUGGGCUGGCACACUAGUCCAACAAAAGGGUCCUCAACUGCCCUCCACCCUGGCCACUCUUACAAGUCACUUCCAUGGCACACUAGUCCAACAAAAGGGUCCUCAACUGCCCUCCACCCUGGCCACUCUUACAAGUCACUUCCAUGGCACACUAGUCCAACAAAAGGGUCUUCAACUGCCCUCCACCCUGGCCACUCUUACAAGUCACUUCCAUGGCACACUAGUCCAACAAAAGGGUCUUCAACUGCCCUCCACCCUGGCCACUCUUACAAGUCACUUCCAUGGCACACUAGUCCAACAAAAGGGUCCUCAACUGCCCUCCACCCUGGCCACUCUUACAAGUCACUUCCAUGGCACACUAGUCCAACAAAAGGGUCCUCAACUGCCCUCCACCCUGGCCACUCUUACAAGUCACUUCCAUGGCACACUAGUCCAACAAAAGGGUCCUCAACUGCCCUCCACCCUGGCCACUCUUACAAGUCACUUCCAUGGCACACUAGUCCAACAAAAGGGUCCUCAACUGCCCUCCACCCUGGCCACUCUUACAAGUCACUUCCAUGGCACACUAGUCCAACAAAAGGGUCCUCAACUGCCCUCCACCCUGGCCACUCUUACAAGUCACUUCCAUGGCACACUAGUCCAACAAAAGGGUCCUCAACUGCCCUCCACCCUGGCCACUCUUACAAGUCACUUCCAUGGCACACUAGUCCAACAAAAGGGUCCUCAACUGCCCUCCACCCUGGCCACUCUUACAAGUCACUUCCAUGGCACACUAGUCCAACAAAAGGGUCUUCAACUGCCCUCCACCCUGGCCACUCUUACAAGUCACUUCCAUGGCACACUAGUCCAACAAAAGGGUCCUCAACUGCCCUCCACCCUGGCCACUCUUACAAGUCACUUCCAUGGCACACUAGUCCAACAAAAGGGUCCUCAACUGCCCUCCACCCUGGCCACUCUUACAAGUCACUUCCAUGGCACACUAGUCCAACAAAAGGGUCCUCAACUGCCCUCCACCCUGGCCACUCUUACAAGUCACUUCCAUGGCACACUAGUCCAACAAAAGGGUCUUCAACUGCCCUCCACCCUGGCCACUCUUACAAGUCACUUCCAUGGCACACUAGUCCAACAAAAGGGUCUUCAACUGCCCUCCACCCUGGCCACUCUUACAAGUCACUUCCAUGGCACACUAGUCCAACAAAAGGGUCCUCAACUGCCCUCCACCCUGGCCACUCUUACAAGUCACUUCCAUGGCACACUAGUCCAACAAAAGGGUCCUCAACUGCCCUCCACCCUGGCCACUCUUACAAGUCACUUCCAUGGCACACUAGUCCAACAAAAGGGUCCUCAACUGCCCUCCACCCUGGCCACUCUUACAAGUCACUUCCAUGGCACACUAGUCCAACAAAAGGGUCCUCAACUGCCCUCCACCCUGGCCACUCUUACAAGUCACUUCCAUGGCACACUAGUCCAACAAAAGGGUCCUCAACUGCCCUCCACCCUGGCCACUCUUACAAGUCACUUCCAUGGCACACUAGUCCAACAAAAGGGUCCUCAACUGCCCUCCACCCUGGCCACUCUUACAAGUCACUUCCAUGGCACACUAGUCCAACAAAAGGGUCCUCAACUGCCCUCCACCCUGGCCACUCUUACAAGUCACUUCCAUGGCACACUAGUCCAACAAAAGGGUCCUCAACUGCCCUCCACCCUGGCCACUCUUACAAGUCACUUCCAUGGCACACUAGUCCAACAAAAGGGUCCUCAACUGCCCUCCACCCUGGCCACUCUUACAAGUCACUUCCAUGGCACACUAGUCCAACAAAAGGGUCCUCAACUGCCCUCCACCCUGGCCACUCUUACAAGUCACUUCCAUGGCACACUAGUCCAACAAAAGGGUCCUCAACUGCCCUCCACCCUGGCCACUCUUACAAGUCACUUCCAUGGCACACUAGUCCAACAAAAGGGUCCUCAACUGCCCUCCACCCUGGCCACUCUUACAAGUCACUUCCAUGGCACACUAGUCCAACAAAAGGGUCCUCAACUGCCCUCCACCCUGGCCACUCUUACAAGUCACUUCCAUGGCACACUAGUCCAACAAAAGGGUCCUCAACUGCCCUCCACCCUGGCCACUCUUACAAGUCACUUCCAUGGCACACUAGUCCAACAAAAGGGUCCUCAACUGCCCUCCACCCUGGCCACUCUUACAAGUCACUUCCAUGGCACACUAGUCCAACAAAAGGGUCCUCAACUGCCCUCCACCCUGGCCACUCUUACAAGUCACUUCCAUGGCACACUAGUCCAACAAAAGGGUCCUCAACUGCCCUCCACCCUGGCCACUCUUACAAGUCACUUCCAUGGCACACUAGUCCAACAAAAGGGUCCUCAACUGCCCUCCACCCUGGCCACUCUUACAAGUCACUUCCAUGGCACACUAGUCCAACAAAAGGGUCCUCAACUGCCCUCCACCCUGGCCACUCUUACAAGUCACUUCUAUGGCACACUAGUCCAACAAAAGGGUCCUCAACUGCCCUCCACCCUGGCCACUCUUACAAGUCACUUCUAUGGCACACUAGUCCAACAAAAGGGUCCUCAACUGCCCUCCACCCUGGCCACUCUUACAAGUCACUUCUAUGGCACACUAGUCCAACAUAA
Molecule: long non-coding RNA, 2649 nt
Organism: Callithrix jacchus (white-tufted-ear marmoset)
Lineage: Eukaryota; Metazoa; Chordata; Mammalia; Primates; Cebidae
Source: Ensembl